UGGCUGGCAAAAGCAUCACUCCCCAUCAUGCACAUAAAACUCAUCUCCUUGAAAAGACAGGAGCUGGAAGCACUUUAAUGAAAGACUGAAGGUGAGCAGGGUGGAGGACAGUCGCACCUCGAAGCUGACAGCUGUCUUCAAGACCAUCAAGGCAAAUCCCAGCGUUUCCUUCUUUGUUUGCCUCUUCCAAGAAUAGGCUGCCAAACCCAGGCACCUGCAGCUUUCCCGUCACUUCCCAAGCUGCUGACAUUUUCUCCAGUAACCUGGUGGCGGUGUGUUGGCCAAGGGGAAGUAGGCACAGUUGCUUUGAAAGAAGACAUACUAUGGUGAAGCUCUGUACGAAUGGAUCAUCCUCGAAGACAGUUUCUGAAGUUCGGUCAGCAUCUGGCUUCCAGGAGAAGAGGAUUUAAUGAAAAGAGGCUGGGCAGCAAAAGUCGGGUGUGGCCAUGAGUCCGAGUCUUUGUUGACUGGAGAUUCCAGUCAAGUAAAACGUGACAUCUUUCUA
This 505-nucleotide long non-coding RNA is filed under the name Mus musculus (house mouse). Its description in RNAcentral is "predicted gene, 50378". The record is from RNAcentral. Lineage: Eukaryota; Metazoa; Chordata; Mammalia; Rodentia; Muridae.